RNAcentral lists this long non-coding RNA (6118 nucleotides) under Sus scrofa (pig). Its description in RNAcentral is "lncRNA (ENSSSCG00000063245.1)". The record is from RNAcentral. Lineage: Eukaryota; Metazoa; Chordata; Mammalia; Artiodactyla; Suidae.
AAGGCUAGGGAUAGAACCCACACAUGGGUUCUUAACCCACUGAAACAUAAGGGGAACUCAUCUAGAGGUGUCUCCUUGACCUCAAGAAUGAGAAAUAAGUGGUCUCUAUCUUCUAUCCAAGCAGGACGCAGCCCCUCCUUGCUCCUGGCAGAAGCUGUAUCUUCAAGUUCUUUGUCCACAGGGAACAGAUGACAGCUGCUCAGCCUGAGACCCACCUACCUCCUGUCUCACGUCCUCAGACACUGCAGACACUCAAAUCCUGUUCUGCUGGUGGAAAAGCUGGAGGAGCCAUGAUGAAGGCCACCUCUAAUGAAUUCCCCACAUUCCCACGUGCCUCAGAGUCACCCUUCCCUCCCAGCAGCAUGGCCUUUGCCUGUCGGUGUCUCAUAAGGUAAAAUGGGGUGAAUAUGCCGUGAAUGAAUGGAGCAAGCCUUGCCAUCAAGGGCAUUGCCCGUGAUUUUGAGGACGGAGUUAACAUAGAGCUCAUGGUUAUUGAGAAGGAAGUGUGGAAGUAUGAAGAACAUUUACCCAAUAUUAAAAUUUAUUUUUCAGUGUGACCUAUUUUGGGGGGAGAGACAGUGACGUUUCUACUUUUGUUCAGGGAAAACAUGAGUCAGGAAUCUUUGUGUCAAUUUAAUGUUUUUAACCUACCCUUGUCUCCUAAACAGAGGUGGUAACAGACAAACCAUCUCCUUCUAACCAGGCUGUUUACAGUGUUUAACCCAGGGUGCUUGUUAAAAUCAAAGGGAAGGGGUAAGAUAACCAAUGUAAGGAAAAACUAAUGAAGCUGUAUUUUCUGAUUCUUGUAAUUGUAGUGGUGUGGUUGGUUCUGCUACAGUGAAGCUCUUAUUUCCAGUAAGAAACCUCUUUUCUCGUUUACUCUCUCAUACAUUUUAACUGUCAUGCAGAUGGAAAUUGUAUGGCAGCUGCCAGCAGGAAUGACCUUAGUUUUUGUUUACAAACACAAAGCUUUCUAUUGAGAAUGCUGACGAUAUUACUCAGCUGCUUUGUUGAAACAGCCCAUCAUGGUCAGACCUGAGUUUCCCUUCACAAAGUGAAAUUUGACAGUGAUUGUGGCAUUAAAUUAAGAUUAAAAUACAACAAAUCUAAGUAUCUGAUUCAAUUCAAAUGCAGUCCAGAAGCUUGAACUAGAAUCGUAGUUACGCUCUGUCCUGUCUGUGGAUGUAGGCUCUCUGGGCUUCAUUGUUUGCCCCCAUAUGGGAUGGAGUAAUAAUAGGGCCUGCUUUAUAGGGCUGUUGAAAGGAUUAAAUGGGUUCAAGUCCUAUAAAAACAGUUGGAAUGGAGCAGUGCCUGGCAUAUAGUAAACACUCAGCAGUCUACACAAGAGACUGUGGUGUUAAUUCUUUAAACAUUUGGUAGAAUUCUCCAGAGAAACUAUUCAAGCCUGAAGUUUUUGUUUUAGGGUGAUUUUUAACUACAAAUAUGGUCUAUGUGAUAGUUUUAGGGCUAUUCAAAUGUUCUGUUUCAUACUGGGUGUGUUGGGGUAGUUUUGUGUUUUUCGACGAAUCACUGAAUAUUACAUAGGUUGUUAAAUUGGUGUGUGCUGAAUUGUUUGCAGUAUUUUUAUAUUAUCUUUUGAAUAUCCGCCUGGUUUUUAAUGAUAUGCUCUGUUUGUCAAUCUUAGUGAUCUUUUCCAAGAACUAGUUCUUGGUUUUCCUGAUGGUUCUCUUUUGCUUUUCUGUUAUAUUUUAUGGACUUUUGCUCUUCAUAAUUCCUGUCUCCUGCUCGCUGUGUUCUUUUUCUCUUUUAUCCUACUGCUUGUUCCCUUCUUUUCUAUGUCUUGAGACAGGAGCUUAGAUGAUUUUUCUUGAAACUUUUCAGCUUGUUAAUGUAUUCAUGUAGUGCUAUAAAUUUCCCUUCUAGCCCUGCUUUAACUGUUGGACAAAUUUUGAUAAUGGUGUAUUUUCAUUUUCAUUUAGUUCAUUGUAUUUGAAAGAAGCCUCUUGAGCCUUUCUUUUUGACUCAUGGAUUGUUGAGACGUGUGUUGUUUAGUCUUCCAAUUAGAGAUUUUCUAGAUGUUUUUAUGCUCUUGAUUUUUUAAUCUGAUUGCACUGUGGUUGGAGAACACGCCCUCUAUGAUUUAAAUUCUUUACAUCUACUGAGGUUUGUUUUCUGGCCCAGGAUGUAUAAACUAUCUUGGUGUAGGUUUCAUGGACCCUUGAAAAGAAUAUUUAUUUAUUUUUUUUUGUCUUUCUAAAGUUUGCUUACAACGUGUUUUGUUGUGGAUAUCUCGGAGUAUAUACUGCUUGGUAAUUGCUCAGCUUUUUGAAUCUGAGGCUUUAUAUCUUUUGCCAAAUUUCAGAAGUUUUCAGUCUUUAAAGUACUCUUUCAGCCUCAACUUAUUUAUCCUCUCCUUCUGGAACUAUGAUGACAGGAAUGUUAGAUUUUUUUGUUAAACUCACAUAGGUCCCUGAAGCUCUGUUUGUUUUUGUUCAGUCUAUUUUGUCUGUUCAGAUUGAGCAAUUCUAUUGUUGGAUAUUUCAGUUUGAGCCUAUCCUUUGGAUUAUUUACUUAUUAUGUUUUAUAAUUCUAAAAUUUCCAUUUAGUGCUUUGUGUCUUCCUUUGCUUGGACUCUCUAUUUUGUGAUUUGUUUCAAACACGUUUGCAAGUACUCACUGAAGCACUUUUAUGAUAACUACUUAAAAAUAUUUGCCAAAUAAUUCUAACGUCUCUUUUAUCUUGGUGUGGAAUAUUUUGAUGCUCUUGUUUUCAGGUUGAGAUCCCCCUGGAUCUUGACAUGAUGAAUGAUGUUUAAAAAAGUGAAACCUUGGCAUUUCAGGUAUUAUGAGAUUCUGAAACUUCUUUAGAUACUCUGUUUUUUUUUUUUUUUUUUCCUGGCUUACUGGAAUAGCACUCUAGCAGGGGAAUUGUGAGUGCUGCCUCAUUAGUGACACAUAUUUCUCCAUUGACAUCUGAGAGAAAGAAGAGCCUUGCUACAGCUUGAUGGGAGUGAUGGUUCUGGCUCCCUCCUGGACAGCAGUGAUACCUCCUGGGCUGGGAGGGAUUAGAACGCCUCAUUACCACUUGGCACAUAGGCUCUACUCAUACUGUGGGAUUGGUGAAUGUCCUAACUCUCCUAGGUCCCCUCUGACAUCACCUGUACAGGAAGGGAAAAGAAAUACCCUGUUGCUGCCAACUGUAGUGGAAGUCCAGGUUCUUGAUGAAGAAUCACUGGAAGGUGAUUUAAUACCACUUGGCGGGGAUGAACGUGCUGUUCCUACUCCUUCCUUGAUACCAUCCUGGCAAGUGGCUUGUGAAUUCCUGUUAAAGCCCAGGGAGGGAAGUCUAGGCUCCUCAUGUGGCCUUAAUUGGCAGGAGUUGGGAUUGCAGCCAUAGUUUCUUCCAUGGUAUUUCGUUAGAGUACAAUAAUCUAAAUAUUUUCAAUCUUGGUUAGGCUGUGCCUUUUUGUCUGUGCCUCUUAGCAUCUCCAGGUUGCUGGGUUGCUGGCUUCCCCAGCAAUCGAUCUGAAAUAUGUGAGUCACAAAGAAAACCCAGCAAACUUAUUGUACUGUUACUGUUUGGGUCUCAAGUUGCUAGUUGAUUUGCCUUUUCUUACUUCACUUUGCAUUAUAUAUAUAUAUAUAUUUUUUUUUUCUUUUCACAGCCACACCUACAGCAUAUGGAAGUUCCCAGGCUAGGGUUGAACCAGAGUUGCAGCUGCCUGCCUACACCAUAGCCACAGCAAUGCUAGAUGCGAGCCACAUCUGCACCCUCCACUGCAGCUCACGGCAAUGCUGAAUCCUUAACCCACUGAGCAAGGCCAGGGGUUGAACCCAUAUCCUCAAGGAGACUAUGUAGGGUCCUAAAUCUGCUGAGCUACAAUGGGAACUCUCUUUCUCUAUAUAUAUGUACACACACCACACACACACACACACACACACACACACACACACACACACACACACACACAAUGUCCAGAGGUUUCAGUUUACUGCUGCUGACUUUGGGCUCCUACCAAGUCCUACCUAUUUUUCAAGUCUUAGAUGACGUGUCAUUUCUGGUAAGCUCCCUCUGAGUCUACCCACCAGGCUGGGUUUCCUUAUUCUCUGCCAUCACAGUCUGCAUUUCUCCAUAUAGUAACUUUGUUCAGUGUCUUUCUCCUCCAUUUGAUGGCUCUUUGAGGGCAGGGGUUGGGUCCCAUCUUGAAUAAAUGAGUGACAUUUUCAUUUGUAAAAUGAGGAAGUUGGAAUAGAUGAACCUGGAGAAGCUCUAUCUCUCCCUUGUUUUCCUUCCCUUACUUUUUAUCUGCCUCCCCCCCCAAUAAUUUACAAAUAUAAUCAUAUCUGAAGUCUUGUCCCUCUGUGCCUUCUCCAACAUUGGUUUGAUCAUGAAAAACAAAACCAAAAUUUGGUUUAUAUGUUAGAUCAAUAAUGACAUCUUUAUUAUGGUUUUAUUUUUGCACUUACUUGAAUACCAGGAAAGUUUAUUCAUCCUGUCAGUAAAUGUCAAAUAUCUACUAUGUUCUUCUUUAAAACACUUUUAAAGUAUAGUUGAUUUACAACGUUGUGCCAAUUUCUCCUGUAUAGCAAAGCGACUCAGUCAUAAGUAUAUACACGUUCCUUUUCUUAAAUUACAUGCCAUCAUGGUCUGUCCCAAGAGACUAGAUAUAUUCCCUGUGCUAUAUAGUAGGACCUCAUUGCUUAUCUCUUCUAAAGGUAAUAAUUUUCAUUUACUAACCCUAAACUCCCUGUCCAUCCCACUACCGCCCACUCUCCUCCUUGGCAACCACAAAUCCGUUCUCUAUGUCUGUGAGUCUGUUUCUCUUUUGUAGAUGAAUUCGUUAGUGCCACAUUUAAAAUUUUACGCAUACAUGAUGUCAUAGGGUAUUGGUCUUUCUCUUUAUGACUUAUUUAGUAUGAUUUCUAGUAGCAUCGAUGUUGGUGCAGAUGGCAUUAUUUCAUUGAAUAUCUAUUAUGUUCUAAAUUCUGUGGAAGAAGGUUCUAGAGAUAAGAGCAGUUCACAAAACAAGGGCCUUCUUCCAAUGGAGCUUAACAGUUGAAGUUUUUUGAUACUGUUAUUGAUCAUUUACAUAUCUUUUGUGAAUUAUAUCUGCACAUUGUUUGCCUAUCGACCUGCCACUUUUCUCCAUUUUCAAUGUUCAUUGCACAGAUAUUUUGCUCAGGAGUAUGAGAGAUGCAAAGAUAAGACAGUCCAUUUCACAGUUCACUUAGCAUCUGUUAUGCUUCACCAGUUCAUACAUCCAAACAAAAAUACUUUUCUCAGAAAACAGGUCUGGACAGCCCACUUACACUAUAUUGUGCACUUAAACUUUUUUUGGAAUAUAAAGGCUAAAGUGGUUAUGAUGUUUGGCAUUUUUUUUUUAAUAACAAAUGUGCCACCUCACUGUAUAGCAACAGUUAAAUACCAUACAUUGCAGGAGGGAAUUGAGCGGCAGGAUGUGAUGAAACAAUUGUAACAAGGACCAGUUGUAGUGUUAGGGUCCAAUUGCAAAGAAACCUGCCUGGACUUUAAUUUGUAUCUUGUUUUAUGUAAAAAUGAUACUCAAUUUUCAUUUCACAGAUAUCAGAGGUAGUGGUGGGAGGUCCUGGGUGACAAACCUCUAAUAUCAGCAAGGUUUCAGACAAAAACAGGCACUCUUUGGAGAUAAAACUUGCCUCCUUUCAGAGGGAGCCCUGGGUUAGGACUGCUUUAGUCUAACACACACAGUGGGUCAUGCUGAUCAUCCACUUCCCUUCUUUGACAUGAUGUAAUUAUCUGUCAUAUCUGUAGAAGGCAUGUUAGUUUAUUUACUCAGCACUGCCAUGUCCAUUAUCUCAUUUAAUCCCUCAAGCAACACCGUGGAGAUGGGAGGAGAUGAUGCACCCAGGAGGACCAGAGGCUCAUGCAGGGAAGUGCCUUGUCUGAGAGCACACAGCUAGUAAGUGGCUGAACCAGAAUCACUGGCUACAUAUGUAUCGUAUCUCAGAUGAAAUUUCUUAGUGAUACCAAGGGGUGCUUGAUACAUGGAAGAGAAACAUCUAUACAGUCCUGGAGUUGUAUUUCGUGAUCACAAACUGUAUUACUGGCACCAUGUCAUGUUGUUUUCAUGACUUUAUUUGCCUCAUUGUCCUGAUGUGGAAUAAACUGCCGUUUUGAC